CACAGCAUUCCCAAUGGCAUCGGCAGCAUGGUCCUCCACGGUCUCCUCAGGUAGGUCCUCCACGGUCUCCUCAGGUAGGUUCUUCUCAGCCUCCUCAGGUAGAUCCUCCUCAGGUAGAUCCUCCUCAGGUAAGUCCUCCUCAGGUAGGUCUUCCUCAGGUAGGUCCUCAGGUAGGUCCUCCUCAGGUAGGUCCUCCUCAGGUAGGUCCUCCUCAGGUAGGUCCUCCUCAGGUAGGUCCUCCUCAGGUAGGUCCUCCUCAGGUAGGUCCUCCUCAGGUAGGUCUUCCUCAGGUAGGUCUUCCUCAGCCUCCUCAGGUAGGUCCUCCUCGGGUAGGUCCUCCUCAGCCAGGUCCUCCUCAGCUUCCUCAGGUAGGUCCUCCUCAGCCUCCCCAGGUAGG
Long non-coding RNA from Oncorhynchus keta (chum salmon), 397 nucleotides. RefSeq lists it as uncharacterized. The transcript is spliced from 3 exons. The record is from RefSeq and is a predicted model, not a curated record. NCBI's taxonomy places the organism in Eukaryota, Metazoa, Chordata, Actinopteri, Salmoniformes, Salmonidae.